Molecule: ribosomal RNA, 265 nt
Filed under: uncultured archaeon
Lineage: Archaea
Description: partial 16S ribosomal RNA
Rfam family: Archaeal small subunit ribosomal RNA
Source: RNAcentral
AGUCACUGACAUUAGAUACCCGUGUAGUCCAGGGUGUAAACGCUGCAGACUUGGUGUUGGAAAUCCUUCGAGGGUAUUCAGUGCCGGAGAGAAGUUGUUAAGUCCGCUACUUGGGGAGUACGUCCGCAAGGAUGAAACUUAAAGGAAUUGGCGGGGGAGCACCGCAACGGGAGGAGCGUGCGGUUUAAUUGGAUUCAACACCGUAAAACUCACCAGGGAAGACUGUUACAUGAAAGCCGAGAUGAAGACUCUGCUAGAUUUUCAG